Solanum pennellii is the source of this 280-nucleotide long non-coding RNA. RefSeq lists it as uncharacterized. Lineage: Eukaryota; Viridiplantae; Streptophyta; Magnoliopsida; Solanales; Solanaceae. The record is from RefSeq and is a predicted model, not a curated record. The transcript is spliced from 2 exons.
GUAAGUUUUUAGUUUCUCUCUCCUUCUCUCUCUUGUAAAUCUCUCGUGAGCAAUAAUAAAGAAUCGCUUUGGUUUGAAGACCAGUCUUCAAGAUUUGAUGGAUGAAAUUCAAAUGGAGUGCUUCAAGUGAAGAGUUUGGUAUUAUGACACAGUUACUGUAAGUAGUAACCUUACCAAAAUUUACUUUUUAUGAUUUACAUAUGAAUUUUAAAAGUGAAUGUGUUAUUGAGUAAUUUAAGUUGCAUAUGAGACAAAUUGAUAUGAUACCAAAUUUAAUUGA